Long non-coding RNA from Dreissena polymorpha, 451 nucleotides. RefSeq lists it as uncharacterized. Lineage: Eukaryota; Metazoa; Mollusca; Bivalvia; Myida; Dreissenidae. The record is from RefSeq and is a predicted model, not a curated record. The transcript is spliced from 3 exons.
CUUUUCAGUACUCGUUUUACAUGAGCCGGAUAAAGGACAGACUGUACAUAUAACCUCGAAGCGGGCAUACAACCCUAUAGCUACAGACACCAACUCAGACACAUUUCAAUUCACAAGAGAGGCAGGCAAGAUGUGCAUCAGCAGAUACAGAUGAACACCCAAGUUGCAACAAUAUAACAAGAAAGAGUCUCAGACUAACCUGAAACAUAUCUCCCUUGGCAACCUCUUCUAAAGGUUCCGGAUCAACUACUGGUUCCCCCCACAUCAACCGAAGAACAGCACAGGCAAUGAUGGUGCGGGUGACAUUGGCAGGCUUCAUUCUAAUCUGUUCUAAAAAGAAGUUGGAGGAAUAACAUUGACAAAUAAUGUUACAUCAAAAGUCAUUGUUAAAAAUGUUGUCAAAUUUGUCCCCAAUGUUUGAUGCAGAGUAAAUGGUAACAACUUCUUUUUG